This 1077-nucleotide long non-coding RNA is filed under the name Bos grunniens (domestic yak). Its description in RNAcentral is "lncRNA (ENSBGRG00000016925.1)". The record is from RNAcentral. Lineage: Eukaryota; Metazoa; Chordata; Mammalia; Artiodactyla; Bovidae.
AUGUCCCCUUCGCGCGGCCGGGACCGGGCGCCUCCGCCGCCGCCGCCGCCGCCGCCGCCGCUGCUGCUGCUCCCUCCUCGCCGGCUGCUGCUGCUGCAGACUCUGCUGCUCCGGGGCGCUCCGCGGCGCGCCCUGCGGCAUCAGCGCCCCGCGCGGCUCCUCCCGAGCGCUGCGCCCUCCGGGCUGGCGCGGGGGCUGCGAGGCGGCCGCCGCUGGGCAGGAGGCACCCGCCGGUGCGAGGAACCUGGCUCUCUGCCGGCCGGCCGGCCGUCCGGGCGUCCGCGGGAGGCUGGCUGCCCGACUCACUCCGGGGGCAGCAUGCGCGGAGGGUCUGGAAGCUGGGGCGCACUCUCCAGGCGGGGCGUGGGGCUGCGCGGGGCCAGGGGUCAGCGCUCCGGGGCCGGGGCGCGCGGCGGCAGCACGAACGCGUCACGGCCGCUCCGUCUGGGCGCCUGCCGGCUCAUGUCUCCUCCUCCGCGUCUCUCCGGCCGUGCGCAUCGCCGCCUCCCACCACUGGCGGCGGCCGGGGCGUUUUCUACGCGCGGGCGGCGAGGGGGCGGGGGGCCGGGGGCGGGCCCGGGCCCGAGCCGGCACAAUGAGGAUGCGGGGCCCAGGGGCUCCCCCCUCGGGGCGCGGCCGGACGGGCGCUCAGCUCGCCUGGGUGCGCCGCGCCCACAUCAAAGGCGGCCCUGCCGGCUUGCGGGCCUGCCGCGGCCUCUCCACUGCCGCCUCCUCUUCUCCUGGCGCUCCGGCUUGGAGGGAGGCGCUCAGACUCUCGGCGACAGCACCAGCAGCUCCGAAGGGGCAGAGCCCGCGAGGCUGGAGCUGAUGAGCGCUGGGAGCCGUCGAAAUUCCGCGCCUGGGCGCAAUGACCCGCGCCACGGGGCAAAGGCUGCCAGAACUGCCAGGGCUGCGGUCCCCCAGAACUCAGUUAGGUGCAGAAUGUCCUUCCUCACCCACAUUCGUCCUACCACUCAAACCCACCAGCGCCUGAGUGGGGAGCAGGGAGAGGGCGGGUCAGGCCCAACCCUCGGGGCGGCUCCACGUAAGGGGGGGUCUCUUUUACCCACCCUGUGA